Molecule: long non-coding RNA, 274 nt
Organism: Cotesia glomerata
Lineage: Eukaryota; Metazoa; Arthropoda; Insecta; Hymenoptera; Braconidae
Exons: 2
Source: RefSeq, a predicted model, not a curated record
UCAUAUUCAUUGGUCGUAUGCACCUCGUUAAAAAUAAAAUUUUAUUCGUCAAUUUUAAGAAGUUCAUUUUACUGAUAAAUUACAUUGAGUUUAAAUUAGUGUAUUGUUUACAAUUAAAAUCGAUAAAUCUAAAUAUAUCUACGCCCGCUACUACGCAACUUUGUGGGCAAUGAGUGCCACUGGAAAUUUUAAAAUUGUAAAAAUCGAGAAAAAUCAGACAAAUCUAACAGUGCAAAAUUCACUGAAAUCCGUCAAUAGAUACUUUUGUUCUUAA